CCCCUCUCCCGGCUGUAAGGCUGUGGGGUCGCCCGCACUCCAAACCCUUUGCCUGUGAUUCCCAAGUGUUGGGGGCCCCUGAAGCCAAACCCCAGGUCCUGGCUGCACCUUGGCAACAAGGCUGAGGGAUAGGUGUCCCUAAGGACUAAUCAACAGGAACUGGAAGGGCCUUAGAGUGGGGACAGGAGCCUGAAGACAAGACACAGGAACAGGAGACAGUUGGUCCAGGCCUUGUCCUGCGCUGUGCCCAUAAUGGCCCUACUGCUGGCCUCAUACACUCUACCCAAGGAAGGGCCCGAGGCCACAGAUAUAAGACCCUAGCAGGACUGGAGGGGCCCACUAGACAGAGCUG
Molecule: long non-coding RNA, 352 nt
Filed under: Marmota monax (woodchuck)
Lineage: Eukaryota; Metazoa; Chordata; Mammalia; Rodentia; Sciuridae
Source: RNAcentral